ACUUUGGGAGGCAGAGGUGGGUGGAUCACGAGGUCAGGAGUUCAAGACCAGCCUGGCCGAGAUGAUGAAACCCCAUGUCUACUAAAAAUACGAAAAUUAGCCGGGAGUAGUGGUGGUGCUCCUGUAAUCCCAGCUACUCGGGAGGCUGAGGCAGGAGAGUCACUUGAUCCCGGGGGGCAGAGGUCGUAGUGAGCCGAGAUCGUACCAUUGCACUCCAGCCUGGGCGGCAGAGUGAGACUCCGUCUCAAAAAAAAAAGAAAAGCAGACUGCCUAAGAGGAUGGACAGAUGGACACUGGGUGAGCAGAGUGGCCUGGCCGCUGGCACACCUCCCUGGGCAGGACCAGGCAGCCUCCAGAGGGGCUUCAGGAGUGACCGGGCCUGGCCUCCCCACCACGGGCUAGGGUGGACAUUUGGGGCCUUCUGGGGCCAAAGUGCAGACUGCUGGGGAUGCAGGUGGCUUGGAUGUUCUCUGACUUUGUUGCUGGGAUCUCCGCUAAAGAGUGUCUGCGCUGUGGCUUCUUUGCAGGAGAAGUUUUCAGGUUGCUGGAGGAAGAGGGCGUCUCCCUCCCCGACCUGGAACCAGCCCCUCUGGACAGCCUGUACGUAUGUCUGCCACCAAGAACUGUUAUUUUAGCUUCUAACGCUGCCUCUGAGGAUAGCAUCCCCCUGCUCUGGGCUUGCCUCCCCGCAGCCCAUCUUGGCGUCCACAGAAGUGGCUGGAUAGCCAGGCGCAGUAGCUCACGCCUGUCACCCCAGCACUUUGGGAGGCCAAGGUGGGCAGAUCACCUGAGGUCAGGAGUUCGAGACCAGCUCGGCCAACAUGGUGAAACCUCAUCUCUACUAAAAAUACAAAAUUUAGCCAGACAUGGUGGUAAUCCAUGCCAGGCCCUGUAAUCCCAGCUACUUGGGAGGUUGAGGCAUGAGAAUUGCUUGAACCCAGGAGGCGGAGCUUGCAGUGAGCCAAGAUCACGCCACUGCACUCCAGCCUGGGCGACAGAGCAAGACUCCGUCUCAAAAAAAAAAACAAGAAGUGGCUGGGCCCCUGUGAUGGCUGGUGACACAGGAGCUGUUCCUCUGUGUCUGUGACUUGUCUCCCACCUGGAAAUGCAAACGCUCAUGUGUGAGGGACAGAGGCCCUGCUCGGGAGGUUGGCAGGCAGCAGCCCCAGCUGUGCUGAGGCCCCUCCCUCCUUGCCAGGUGCAGCGGUGCCUCUGCAGAGGAGCCCACCAGCCAUCGGGGAGGGGGCUCGGGGGGCUACCUGGAGCACGUGUUCCGGCACGCGGCCCGAGAGCUCUUUGGAAUCCAUGUGGCUGAGGUUACCUACAAACCCCUGAGGUCAGUGGGAUGGGCCAGAUCUCUGGGCAGAGCGGCCACACAGCCCCCAGCCUUCCUCGGGCUGCUGCCUCCCCUGGGGUCCUCCCACAGAGGUGGGCUGGGUGGAGGGCAGCCUGCAGGGUUUGGAGGGGACCCUGGGGCCAGGCAGGGCCCUCCUGGCGGGCUCAGGGUGUGAAGGCACCUAAGCACUCCAGGCCUCAGUCGGCCCAUUGUGGGGGAUGGUGACCCUGAGCCCGAGAGGCCAGCAUGGGCAAAGGUGAUGGGUGCCUGGCGCAGGCACGCGACCACAUCCCAGGAGGGAGGGCCAGGGCCUCACAGACAUCCCUGGGGAGGGAGGCCUGUUUCACAGACAGCCCGAGGCUGGAGGUGAGGUCCCCUGCUGGACUCAAGGAAGUGAGCCUUCCACCCUCUCUCUCCGUUCUUGUCCUUCCCUCUGCCCAGGAGAGAGGGAGAGAGCCCUGGGAGGUACCCGGUCAUCCCCUGAAGCCCAGCAGGCCUCCCCUUCCAGGCAGGCAGGAGCCUGGUGGGUGUGCCAUGUAGACAAACCCCGCCUGUGCCCCCCAGGAACAAAGACUUCCAGGAGGUGACACUGGAGAAGGAGGGCCAGGUGCUGCUGCACUUCGCAAUGGCGUACGGCUUCCGCAACAUCCAGAACCUGGUGCAGAGGCUCAAACGAGGGCGCUGCCCCUACCACUACGUGGAGGUCAUGGCCUGCCCCUCAGGCUGCCUGAACGGCGGGGGCCAGCUCCAGGCCCCAGACAGGCCCAGCAGAGAGCUCCUCCAGCACGUGGAGAGACUGUACGGCAUGGUCCGGGCUGAGGCGCCCGAGGACGCGCCUGGGGUUCAGGAGCUGUACACACACUGGCUGCAGGGCACGGACUCGGAGUGUGCAGGUCGCUUGCUGCAUACGCAGUACCACGCCGUGGAGAAGGCCAGCACUGGCCUGGGCAUCCGGUGGUAGGGGCUGCAGGACCAGGACUCCCAGGAGGCCGUGUCCAUGUGUGACAGCAGAACCACAUGCCCCAAGACCCCAGGGCUUCCCCCAAAAUUCUGAGUGAGCUGCAGGGUGUGCUGGGACCCGAGUAGGAGCUAGGACUAGCCAGGACCCGCAGCCGCCUCGUCACCUCCAGUUGGGUGCCUCUGGGUUCCCACUGGCUCUGCCCAGGUGGGGUGGGGUGGCCCAGGCAGCAGAAGGUUCCCUGAGGUCCCAGAGCCUGUUCCGUUGGCCCUGGGCCGAGGCCCACAGGUGCUGCCCUUGCUGCUGCUGGUCGGGCACCCAAGUGCGUGAGGGGCUUCAGCCUGUCCCGGGGUUGCCUGAGGCAGAGCAAGACGGGUUCUCACCCCUGACUUCUGGAGGCUUCCCUUGAAGCUCUGUGCAAAAGGUGGGAGACAGAGCUGGACCUGCAGGGGUGGUCCCGCCACAACCCUGCGUGUGGACCCUGGCAGGGGGGGGUGCCAGGCCCCUGGAAAGCAGGGGUUACCGUUACGAGGCUGUGGUCCGGGGCAAGCCAAGUACGAAGCAGCAGCCAUCGCGGGCUGCAUCAUCCCCCAGCCAGGUCCCCACCAGGCCUGUCUCCCAGCGUUUGUCUAAUAAACGCACCCCUCCU
RNAcentral lists this long non-coding RNA (2943 nucleotides) under Homo sapiens (human). Its description in RNAcentral is "non-protein coding lnc-CCDC78-2:2". The record is from RNAcentral. Lineage: Eukaryota; Metazoa; Chordata; Mammalia; Primates; Hominidae.